Molecule: ribosomal RNA, 376 nt
Filed under: uncultured bacterium
Lineage: Bacteria
Description: bacterial SSU rRNA
Rfam family: Bacterial small subunit ribosomal RNA
Source: RNAcentral
AUACGUAGGGGGCAAGCGUUGUCCGGAAUGACUGGGCGUAAAGGGCGUGUAGGCGGCCGAUUAAGUCUGGAGUGAAAGUCCUGCUUUCAAGGUGGGAAUUGCUUUGGAGACUGGUUGGCUUGAGUGCGGAAGAGGCAAGUGGAAUUCCCAGUGUAGCGGUGAAAUGCGUAGAGAUUGGGAGGAACACCAGUGGCGAAGGCGACUUGCUGGGCCGUAACUGACGCUGAGGCGCGAAAGCGUGGGGAGCGAACAGGAUUAGAUACCCUGGUAGUCCACGCUGUAAACGAUGAAUGCUAGGUGUAGCGGGUAUCGACCCCUGCUGUGCCGCAGUAAACACAAUAAGCAUUCCGCCUGGGGAGUACGGCCGCAAGGUUGA